AAAACGACUCUCGGCAACGGAUAUCUCGGCUCUCGCAUCGAUGAAAAACGUAGCGAAAUGCGAUACUUGGUGUGAAUUGCAGAAUCCCGUGAACCAUCGAGUCUUUGAACGCAAGUUGCGCCCUAAGCCUUCUGGCCGAGGGCACGUCUGCCUGGGUGUCACAAA
RNAcentral lists this ribosomal RNA (165 nucleotides) under Alyssum diffusum. RNAcentral's name for it is "5.8S ribosomal RNA". It matches the Rfam family "5.8S ribosomal RNA". From Rfam's summary of the family: 5.8S ribosomal RNA (5.8S rRNA) is a component of the large subunit of the eukaryotic ribosome. It is transcribed by RNA polymerase I as part of the 45S precursor that also contains 18S and 28S rRNA. Functionally, it is thought that 5.8S rRNA may be involved in ribosome translocation. The record is from RNAcentral. Lineage: Eukaryota; Viridiplantae; Streptophyta; Magnoliopsida; Brassicales; Brassicaceae.